Molecule: long non-coding RNA, 510 nt
Filed under: Elaeis guineensis (African oil palm)
Lineage: Eukaryota; Viridiplantae; Streptophyta; Magnoliopsida; Arecales; Arecaceae
Description: long non-coding RNA (EGUI_LNC016339)
Source: RNAcentral
GAGCGGUGGGUGGCAAUUAAGCAAGCACUGCCAAAAGAUAAGUCUCCUGCGUGUCCGGCCAAACCCCCAAAGCAGCGGCCCAAGGUCUCUGCAGCAGCAAGAAGCUGGCAAGGGGGUGAAAACAAAAUGGGAAAAUUAUCUAGCGGCAACAAAUCUCCUCAUUACUGCUGGAAGAGAGUAGAGAUUUGGACGUCCCCUGUUUUGCUGUCCCCCAUCCACCUAAUCCCUCAUGUGCCCAACAUCAAUACGUCAUUCUCUCCAUCACGGGUUAUGUCUCUUUAUCUCUUUCUUACCUUUUUCUUUUUCCUUUUAUUAAUUUAAUUAUUCGAUGACAAUAAAUAAAGAUUCUUAACUCAAUCAUUUUUACAAAAUAAAAGAAGAAUCCUAACAAUCAACAUCCAACUAGGUAUAAGUUUAAUAUGCCGGUCACUUUCAUGUCCAACCCUGAGAAAAGAGAGGAGACACAUCCAAAGCAGCAUUUGAACUUCCAGAGUUAAACCCCAUCAGCAA